Molecule: long non-coding RNA, 4227 nt
Filed under: Malus domestica (apple)
Lineage: Eukaryota; Viridiplantae; Streptophyta; Magnoliopsida; Rosales; Rosaceae
Description: long non-coding RNA (MDOM_LNC017126)
Source: RNAcentral
ACAGACUGCACCUACCAUAUCCAGGAUUUCACACCCCUCACCUUACAUACCUACGCACGUGCAGUCCACGUCAGAGGAUUUAUACGGUUCAUUGUUCAACGAUGUUCACUUGUAAAAGUAAAUAAUUAGAAAAUAUGAAAAUAAAAAUAAAGUAAUCAUAGUAUAAACAGCUUAUUCUCUACAAAAAUUGAUAUGAAUAACUUACCAUUAAAUUGAGAUCACGAAUUAAAAAAAAAAAAUGCAAGAAAGUAAAAUUAACUAAAUUGGCAAAAAUAGGAAUCACACAAAGUACAAAUAACACAUGGGUUUAGAAAAACAAGGGUAAAGGCAUUAAGGUUUAGUCGUCGUUAUUAGCAACAAUAUCUAACAUAUGAUUCGUCUGUGACAUUCAGAUAAAUCUAAACAUGCAAGACUCCUUAAGUUUUGUGAAACCUUUUGAAAAAUUCGAGAACCUUUAAGACGUGGCAUUCACCUUAAGUGAAAUUACAAUUUGUGAAACCUUUUGAAAAAUUCGAGAACCUUUAAGACGUGGCAUUCACAAUAAGCCUUACUCAAUUUCAAGACGGCACUCCAACAAAAAUUGCCCACGAUUACUUGUCUAAACAUCCUAAUGGUGGUCAAUCAUCAAGACAUACAAAUAGUUUAAACACAGUGAUUAAUAAUUCAAAGUAUGCAUGUAUAACAUCAUAAGUAAUUUAAUAAAGACUACAUAUUCUUGAUAAGGCUCAUGACUAUGCCCUAGCAAAAAAAAAUUAGUAAUACAUAUUGAUCAAAACAAAAUUUAGUAACACAUAAUCAUAAUUAAAAAGUAAAAUAUCAUUAGAGUAAAUGAUAGAAAUCACCUUAUAUCGAAGUACAAAAUCCAAAAAACUAUGUCGAGUUCUCCAAAGUAGUGCUUAGAGUGUUAGAAAUAUUGGUGAUGUGAAUGCUAUUUCUCUUACAACAAAUUACAUAAGAUAAAAUAAAUGAAUACAAGAUAAAAUACUUAUCUUUUAAGGAAAACUAAUAAAAAUAGCUUGAAAACUUUGACUUUUAAUCAAAAUGACAAAAAGGUGUUGUAAGUGAAUAGUAACAUGAGUAACUUUUUAAAGUAAAAAUAUCAUUUUCGUUAAAAGUGAACAGUACCGGGAGUGUUUCGUUAAAACUCCCUAUCUUUUAUAGGAUGGAAAUGGUUCUUUGUCGAUACUUGAUUAGAACAAGAUUUUAUGUUGAGGCGUGUAGGUUAACUGUCCUUAAGAGUAGAUUUUACCCUUCUAAGACAAUUACUCGAUGUAGCAGGUUAUAAUGUUCUACUCUCCAAAAUACAACAACCUAUAAUCAUUGCAAACGUACACUCACAAUACUUUGAUCGAACAACUCGAUUAUUUCUUUUGGUAUAAAAGUGAAUAAUGUAAAAGUACAAAUCAAGGGAGGAGAUAACUCAUCAUAGUACCCAAAUCAUAGUAACCGUAGAUAGGCACCAAAUCACAGUAACCGUAGAUAGGCACCAAAUCACAGUACAUUUAAGCAAGACAACAAAGAAUUAAUCAAGGCACUUACAUUAAAUAGAUAUGACACGGUAUAAGCCUUUCCAUUGCCUUUAAUAAGUAACAUAAUUUGUGGCACUUAACUAAAAAGCUUCAUAUAUAAUUUACCCAACGCCUAUUCCAAUAUUUUAUUAAAUAUUCUAUGGAUAAGUGCAAAUUCAAGAAAUACCAAAAUGUACCAAUAAUUCCAACAAUUUAGGGGUGGUUUUGGUACAUUACCGUACCAAAACCUCUGUACCAAUUAUCAUACCAAAUAUUUGGUACGGUAAAAUCUAUUACUAUUACCAUACCAAACUUUCGGUAUAGUUCGGUUGGUAUGGUAUGCCAAUGGUAAUUGCCACUUUGUUUUACGCCACUUAGUUUGCCCAAAAUCUAAUAUUUUUUAAUUAAUGUAGAAGUGUAAAAAAUAUAGAAAAAAUAUAUAAACACUCGUAAUGACAAAUUUUACAACUUUCGUGAAGAGCUUAACUUUGAAAUUCACCAUUAUAAUCAUAUAAAUCAUAGAUCAAAAUUUAACCGUUGAUUGUUAUUUACAUUUACGCUUCAUUUUUCUCAUCAAAUUUUUUUUUUUUUAAAUCAUGAUCAAUUAGAGGAUGCAGGAAGAUAAACGGUUUGAUCGUUGAUAUUAUGUUCAAAGUUUUACAGUUUGUGAAAAUAUUGCUUGAUGUUUAUAAAGUUUCUACAAACUAUAUGACAUCGACUCAUAUUUCAGUUAACCGUAAAUAUCGAAAUGUGAUAUCAAAUAUCUAAACCGUUCAUCUUCUUACAUCCGCCAGAUGAUCAUGUUUUCAAGAAAAAAAAUUUUAAAAUGAAAUUCAGUAAGAAGAAUAAAGCGUAAAUGACAAUCGACGGUUAAAUAUAAAUUUAAGAUUUAUGGAUUAUAGUGUUGGAUCUUGAAGCUGACAUCUUCAUGAAAGUUGUAAAACUUGUCACUAUGAGUGAUUGUAUAUUUUUUUCACAUUUUUUACACUUCUACAAUAAUUAUUAUUAAUUUUAUUAAUUUUUCCCUCAAAUAAUUAUAUGAAUAAAUACAUAAUAUAAUAUUAAUAAUAUUGGUAGGUAUGGUAUACCACAGGAAUUAGUUUUGGAUAUCAGUACUGUACCGAAACAAUAUGGUCCGGUACAAAUACCGUAUCUUUACCAAUUGAUACAAAUUUUUGGUAAUAAUUUGGUAUGGUAUGGUUGGUAAGGCGGUUGGUACGGUAAUUUGGUAAAAAUUUCUACCCAUAUCCAAUAUUUAAAGGAAAGAUCUCACCGAUAAUAUUACGCAUAGAACGGGGAACAAAUUGGACCCAAUCACCCUAUCAAUCAAUCUUAUAUUGCCAUGACCUGAAAAUUAAAAUGCCUAACCAAAUCACCAUCAAUCUCUUGUGCUGUGCAUCCAUGAGCCCAUCAUCGACAUAGAUAGUAGUUUGUGCGGAGACCAAACGAUGUAGAAGUAGCUUCCAAAUCAACUCUUAAGAUUGUUGGAAUAUUGGCGUUAUGAAUGUUAUUUUCUCAACAACAAAGAUAAAAUAAAAUACUUAUCUUUUAUAGUAAUUUACGCUGCCACAAUUAAUUAGAAGUAUGCAGAAUUCUAGUAGCAUAGUAUCACCUUCAAUAUUUUACCAAAAACUCAUUUCCUGUCCAAAAAUGGUGAAAAAAUACUAGUGUAUACAAUCCAUAAAAUUUGGAGUUAUGAAAGUCUAUAAAAAAAAUAAGGAUCUGUAUCAGGCUCAAAUUGUUGACAUGAAUGGUUUCUUAUCAAAAUUACAUCAGUUACAUAUAACACUUAAGUAGUAUUUAUUCUUUUCCAUGUCAUAAUGAAAAACGAACUAGGGAUUUCAAAAGGAUUUUACGACAUAGGUUUAGAAAGAAAACCAAGAACCAAUGAUUUGUUUCUUAUAAUCCAUUGCACAAAAUUACGAAGAGGAUUCGAAUAAACGAAAUUAAAUACCACUUGGGUAAAACCCCAAAGAACCCAAUUAUAGAAUUACCUUAAACUAAUGAUAUAAACACAUCAAUUCAAAUCAAAGUAUAAAAGGAAUUUAUUCAAUCACAAUACAAACCCUACAAACUCAUAACGAAAAUUCCAUAUUAAUCUAUAGAAGGAUUUGUAAUUGAAAGUUAAAAAACAAUCUAAAUUAUGCAAUUUAUACAAAAGCAUAAUUCAAAUUAAAUAUCACCCAAGUUACCUCCAGACGGCGAGUGAUUCACUGGAAUACUCAUAAAACAGCCAAAGUGCAGCCGGAAAUGCAUCGAAGUCUCAAAGCUUUGAUUCACCUAUUAUUUUGUCCAUGAAGGAUAGACCAAGAUAGCAGGUAUAGGAACGAAAAAGUGAGGAGAAAAACCCCUUUUGUCUUUCACGCCUAUCAUCUAAUUUCCUCCCUUAUUCAUUUAUUAGUUCAUAAUUAUCAAAUAGGAGUCCAAUUUUGUGAUAAACUGAUAAUAUUAAUCAAAACCAAAUCGAUAAUUAGACGAAUUAUUUUGAAAUAAACUAAAUGGGAUGUAGUCAAUUUGGAUUUCAGAGGAUUUUAAUGGACUUUUUUAAGUGACAGAUUUCAAAGGAUUUUAAUAUAUUCUACAAUUUCAUAUGGAUUUUGACAGAUUAUUAUGGAUUUCUAUUAUAGAUUUCUAUGGAUUUGUAAGAAUUUCUUUCAUGGAUUUCUUAAGAUUUCUUUUUUGACUCCUACAACAUAAAUUCAUUUCUUAGUACACAAUC